Long non-coding RNA from Columba livia (rock pigeon), 611 nucleotides. RefSeq lists it as uncharacterized. NCBI's taxonomy places the organism in Eukaryota, Metazoa, Chordata, Aves, Columbiformes, Columbidae. The transcript is spliced from 3 exons. The record is from RefSeq and is a predicted model, not a curated record.
UUUCCAAUUUAUUGUUUUGAACAAAACUGAGUAUAAGAUGAGGAAAUAAUGUAAUUCCCACAUAAUCUGCACGCAUCUGCAUGCGUGCACGCACACACUGUGUUUUACAGACGUGUGGCUCCAACUGCAGCAUCCCAGAGACAGCACUGAAGAACUGCUCCGGAUCUGUGCAGGUCCAGAGAAGGAAAGAGGCAGGUUUGGUGUUGCAGUGAAUUCACAAUUGCCCAGCAGGCACAGGUUGCCUGGUGACCUCUGUUCUUUUUCUGUCACGGCUGGAUUCUUCAGCCGUCCUGCUGUGGGGCUCUUUCUCAACGCCGUAGCUGAGCCACAGGUCUGGAAAGCAAUGCUGGAACUGUUAGAAAAGGCAAGGGUGCUGUUGCCAGCCUAUUAGGAAAGGACAAGUAUAGCAGAUCCAGAGAGUGAUAAAUGAGGAAACAGCAAUAAUUAGCUAAGCCAGAGGAACGGCUAACUGCACCAAUGCAGGCGUAACAGCACACAAAGGAUGUAGACAGCCACACCAUUCUGCAAGACUGUCCCCUCCCAUCCCCAGUUCCUGAACUUGAAUGGCAGCUGAUCAGAGAGGAAAUACAUGUCCAGAUGGACAAUAAAAU